Molecule: non-coding RNA, 924 nt
Organism: Saimiri boliviensis boliviensis (Bolivian squirrel monkey)
Lineage: Eukaryota; Metazoa; Chordata; Mammalia; Primates; Cebidae
Source: RefSeq, a predicted model, not a curated record
UCUUCUCUCUCUCCCUCUCCCUCUCUCUCUCUCUCUCUCUCUCUCUUUUAAAAAAUCAGCCAUUUGGGGUUUUAAGCCAUAAACGAUUUUUCUUGUUGCAGGGAUUGCAGUGGCAAAGCUAGGCUAGGUCUUGGAGGCUGGUGUAAGGCGAUGCGGGUGAAGCCAGGAGGCUGAUGGAAAGACUGGGGGGAAGAAAAGCCGAAAUGGAUUCACGGUGCUUUGGAUGAAGGACGAGAGGGGAACUGCUCCUUCACCUCGUUCUGUCCGGUGAGAAGUGAUCAAGCUUGGGCUGACAAGAGGCUCAGGGAGCCCUCACGUUCUUUCGCUUUUUUACCUGCCAAUCAAACUGCUACAAGACAACACCCUGAUCUGGCAUGGACAUCGCGGGUCCAAGCCUGCAGCCCCAAAUCGGAUAAUCUCUACAGCUGAUAACAAGCAAAAGAGAAGCCAGGCAACAGCCAUAUUAAAGAAGAAAACAGUCAACUCUGAGAUCCAACUUAGAAAUCGUGUUUCAUUCAAGAUAAGGCUCGUGGUGUAGGAGGUUGUGACCUGGCUUGCAUCAUUCCAAGACUUCUAUCAUCUGUUUUCCAAACCCAAGGAGGACCUCGUUUUCUGUGUGAUAGUUCUUCAUGCUUUGCCAGCCAAUGGGUCUUUAAGGAAGCUUGCCAAGAGUUCCCGGCUGGGAAGGACAGUUUGAAUUCAUCAUAGACAAUGAGCUGGCACCACAGUUUAAGUGACUCACCAACCUGGUUACCCACUUCAACAUGUCAAGAACCACACUAUCUAAUUGAAAGAACUGUGUUUCAGCAAAGUGUAAUUGGAUUGCACGGCAAGAUCAGCUCAAACUAUGCCUCUGACCUUGCCUUUCAGUGGCUGUUUUGAGCACAAGAGGAGAAAGGAAAUGGUUCCUGAAUUACAUUUGGU